ACGGAGGAUGCGAGCGUUAUCCGGAUUUAUUGGGUUUAAAGGGAGCGCAGACGGGAGAUUAAGUCAGUUGUGAAAGUUUGCGGCUCAACCGUAAAAUUGCAGUUGAUACUGGUUUCCUUGAGUGCAGUUGAGGCAGGCGGAAUUCGUGGUGUAGCGGUGAAAUGCUUAGAUAUCACGAAGAACCCCGAUUGCGAAGGCAGCUUGCUAAACUGUAACUGACGUUCAUGCUCGAAAGUGUGGGUAUCAAACAG
Molecule: ribosomal RNA, 251 nt
Filed under: uncultured bacterium
Lineage: Bacteria
Also listed under: 1 other name
Description: partial 16S ribosomal RNA
Rfam family: Bacterial small subunit ribosomal RNA
Source: RNAcentral